Long non-coding RNA from Perca flavescens (yellow perch), 5138 nucleotides. RefSeq lists it as uncharacterized. The transcript is spliced from 5 exons. The record is from RefSeq and is a predicted model, not a curated record. NCBI's taxonomy places the organism in Eukaryota, Metazoa, Chordata, Actinopteri, Perciformes, Percidae.
GCUCUCAUCAUAUUCAUUCUCUGCUGUCACUACUUCAUCUCUCUCUUCGUCAGCGGGCAGGAGGAGGUGGAAUAUUGCCCCCCCUAACAGGGGCAGGAUAUCCUUCGUCCAAGUGAGGAGGACUUCAGCAGUGUCCGUCACGCCGAUAGCAGACACUGACAGCAUCACACACGGAGAGCAGGAGCCAGCAAUCAGCAUCGGCAACCCGGGCUUCACCACCACAUUCAUCCUCUGAAAGACGACCACAAUGACAGACAUUAGCGAGGGGGAAGCGGUUAAGUACGGAUCAACAUAACCGAGAAGGAAGAGUGAGCGGAAAUACACAAAAUCCAUAUCAACAAAGACUAAAGGGAGCACAUUUCCCCACCACAAGGUCAGAGUUCAUUCUCCUGUGUGUCAAAGCCUGCCCAAGUGUCCUUGAGCAACACAUGAAUGCAUCCAUCACUUAUCAGAACUGAGUAACUGAUUCGGUCUUCAUUUUUAUAGACAUGCAACGUGGAUAUUCUCCCAAAGACAGCGGAAACAGAUAGACUACGGUUAGAAAGUUUCUUAUGGCAGAUAAAAUUCUUCAUAUCUGUUUGCAUGAUUGCAAUCCUCAUUACCGUAUAUUCAUGUGCAUGCAAGAGAUUGGUUAAUAACUAACCGUUUAACCAUGAAGCAUUUUGACCGAAUACUUGCAGUUACUGUUCAAUCAGUUAAAUGGUAAAACAAUAUAUAUAUAUUAAUGUUAAAAAAUAUAUAUAUUUAAAAGUUUGUUGCAUGGUAAAAGAAAAAUAGGCUUAAAAUCUAUUCUUAAUCCUUCAGGCUGGGUUGCAAUAGAAUCAAGAACUCUGAAAAAGUAACUAAUCCACUCAUCCCGGAUAGCAAAUAGUCAUUGAAACGAUGUUAAAUCAACAUCCUGCUGUCAACGAUAAAGUCAUUGAAUCAACGUUGAACUCUGAUGUUGAUUCUUCGUCAUGUUGCACCCUCUAUUAUCAUUGAAACAACGUUUAAAUCAUACUUAGAGAUCAACAGGAUUUCAAUGGUAUUUUGAUUACAGUGGAUAUUGAAACGUUGUUGAAAUCCCAGCAUAUCAACGAAACUUCAAUGGUAUUUUAGUAGCCUAUACCACAGGUUUAAUCUAAAAAUGUAGGCUAUAAAUUAAUAUAUAAAACAGUAUUAGGCUAUUAUAAUCCUGCUUAUCGACAGCCAGGAUGGGCUAUGAGCAAAAUAUAGAAACUAUGGCAGACUAGCCUUCUGCCUAGACUUUCUAGCACAAAUGACACCCCACGCAUUUAAAAAAAAAAUUCAACCGUUUUUAUUGUAUUCUUUUCUUUUUAUUUUUAUUUUAACGCGCUAUAUCAGGGUCGGUCUUCCAGCUCCCCCUGCCCAGUCUGGGGCAUAGCGCAGCCACUUCUGCACUGCUUGACAAAAUUCAUAGGCAUUUGCCGUACUCAAUCGUUGAGUCAGGGCAUCUAAAAUAGAAAACAAGCAAAAGCACAUUUUAGUUUAACAUUAAUGGUAGACUUCUGACUGUGAAGGAUAUAAACUUGAUAAUGUAGAAAAAAGUGUGUGUGUGUGUGUGUGUGUGUGUGUGUGUGUGUGCGUGUGUGCGCGCGUGUGGCAUAGCUACUGUUUGCCCAGGUUUUCCCCUCAUGCGCCCUUCAGUUGGAAGAAUGACGUCACCAUAGGACCACGCUACUCUCUUCUCUGAAUCACGUUUCAGGUGUGAUCACUCUUUGAUUGGCGCUAGCUUGACUGUCAAAUAUGUGUGAUGGAUGCUGGUCUGAUAUUUUUCCACUUUGGUCUGAAGCGUCACUGAGGUAAUUUGUGGGAGAUGGGACCCAACAAAACUUUGUAUCUGGAAACAUUAACUGUAUCACCUCUGCUUCCUCCAGCUCCUCCAUGCUGUGCAGAGGCAGUUGCAGUGGCUCUGCCGUCAAGCCCACCACCCCAGCACUUUGGCCACAUCUACAGGACUGGCGGAACUCACGGAAGUCCUGCCACAGGUCCCUCACCUCCUUCGUCAACUCUGUGACAGUGAGAAAUUGGCUGCAGACCGGGGAGUACUGGUAGCAGCCACUGGCAAAAAUGACUGGAGGGGAAACUGAAAAUCUUCUGCAGGGAAGAGGCUAUUGGCACUCCUCCACCGAUUGGAUGUCGGUAGUGUUGCAUUGCUGCUUCAAAUACCUUUCCAGGCACCUCUCUGCUUCCUCAAAUGUAUCUGCAGACACAGAGAUGUUAUGAAAUACUGAUACAAAGGGCUAUGAUACAAUUUCAACCAGAUUUAAUAAUACCCACCUCGGCUUAUGAGGACCCUGACAGGCUCAUAAGUCUGCCAUUCCUCCGUUGGUUCAUCCCUCCUCUUGAUGGCAGCACAAACCUUGCCCGACUCUUUUGGAGGGUAUGGAGGCCAGAAAACCUUCUCCCCCUGAAGCCAUAUGUGUGGCACAAGUUCUGUUCCACCACUAUUGAACUUCACAAGGCACCACUGCUUCAUACUAUUUGUUUAUGGUAAAGAUAAUGGUUGGUUAUUAACACAUGAACUGAUUUUAUGAACUGAUUUUUAUGAACUGAUUUUAUGAACUGAUUUCACGAAAUUAUUUACUUUGUAUGUAUGAGGGGAAUGGCAAUGAACUCUAUUUUAUUGGGGAAAAGUAUAUAUUUUGUUUUAAUUAUUUGGAGCUUUACAACACCGACACAGCUGCUAAGUCCCACACUUUGUAACAGUUGAUGUUUGCUGAUUCAAAAGGGGUAAUGGACAUUCCUUGUAAAUUUCCGGAAAAUCACAUGUUUCCUGAGCUUCUUUGACUAUGUUGUCAACAAGAGCGAUGUCAUCAACUAUCUGAAUGCAAUUAUCCCCAGACCUACAUGAUAAGGUGAAAUGUUUAGUUACAACCUUUCUAUACUGCUCCCCAUGUUCUAUAUGAGACACCAAUGGGCCAUCAUAAGGUGGUGCAUGAAUUUGAGGCUUUUGUUGAUUUGGGAUGUCUGAGGGUCUCUUUCAGAAAGCCUUUCAACCAUUUGCUGUAAAUGCAAAUGAGGUUUGCGCAGUAAAUGUUUUAGUUGGGCCAAAUAGUUCUCAUAAGGAAAGGCAGCAAUAUUAUCUAAGGGACCAUAGAGAUGAUAUUCUGCUGCCAGGUGUGUCAGCUGGUGGACAUUGUAAGUAAUUUCAGAUCUGCCAUAUAGCUGCCCAAAGUGACUCACAAAUGAAAUUAGCAAUUUGUGGGCACAGUCCACAAUUUUCUCUGAUGUACCAGGAGAUAAAAGGAGAUGCAUAGCAAAAGAAAACAACAUAAAGUUGUUAAACAUCUCCAGGGGAAUCGUAUCUCUCAGCACUACAGGGCCAGCGUAUAGCAUAAAAUACCGGAGUUCAGUUGUUUUCCACCUAUCAAUUUCUGAGAGUUCUCUGGGUUUGCGACUGAACUCAGUGGGAGUGUAAGGUGUCAGUGCCUUCAACUUCACAGAAAUCUCCCCAAUUGUUUUACUGCCCAAACUAGUUGCAAGACAUUUGCCCCUCAUCCAAAUAUACAGAAGCUUCCUGGUUACCCCAAGACAACAUAAAUGCAUAUAGUCUAAUGGGAACAUUGUCACCAUUUUCACAACGCCAACUAGGGGAGAUGGUGUUCGACUCAAGUGGUGGUCCUCAUCAGUCAUGGAGGCGAAAUCUGUGUCAGUUCUUAAUUUAGCAUUGACAUCAGGAAAGGUCAUUUUGCCCUGCCAUUCACCCACUUGAAAGCGUUUAUCGCAACCAGAGUAACCAUUGUGUGUUUUUAACGAAGGCUCGUGCCAUUAGCCAUUAGCUGCUGCCCAUUAUAAAUUAUACCUCUCUGCAAAAUGUCUUUAAGGUCCUCAAUAAAUGUGCCCAAGAAUUCAGAUGGACUUUUAGGCUUGCUAAGGCCACAGAACAGGCCAACAAGGAAGGGAGAUCUGGUGUAAUCCACAUUUACCAUAGCAAGAAUUAGCCAGAACUGAAGUCUACUGCUUCUGAAUAGUGGUAAUCCAUCUAUAUUGAACUGCAACUUAAGUGUGUUCAAGUUGGCAGGUAGAGUCAAAGAUUUAAGCCUCGACAUCAACCCACUGGCUAUGCCAAAGUGAUAGUAUUCCCCACCCUCCAUCUUGCUAGUUAUUAUUUGACCUUGCGUCCUCAGAACUGUCCGAGCAUCUUUAGGCAAUUCUGGAUGAAACGCGCAAAAUGCUCAAAAGUGCAGUUAGUGCCACUUGAGAGACUGAAAAUGUAGAAGCCCAAAAUCUCAGACUCAUCAUCAAAAACUCUGUAGUGGGAGUUUCAGUAUCAUCUGAAUCAAUGUAAUGAGCUGUGUCUAUUGACUCAUGAGUUUCACUGAAUUCUGAACUCGGCUCAUAGUUCCCUAUAACUGGUAGCUCCUCUACAACUGAGUGGCUAGAGGUUGAAACAGUUGGAUCCACUACUUCCCUUGGGAACUCUACGCGUUCUGAUGCUGUGUCAGUGUUGCCUUGCAUAUUUGUAUCAUUAAAGGUCUCCUCAAACUGCUGUAGUAUCUCGGACUCUGUGGCCUCAAGCAUUGACCUACAUUUGCGCCUCUUUGACCAGCUUGAUGCCAUUGUGAGUGCAGUGGUGUGCAGAUUCAGAAACUGAUAUUAAAAAGAUUCUCAGAUGAGUCUUAUUAUACAAAAACUUGCUUACUUGAUAAACGAUGUGGAUUAAUGAUCUGAAAAAAGAACAAAAAGUAAAUUACAGUGUCAGUAAACAGCAAUUUAAUUCAGAAUCAACCACUGCCCUGAUUAUUUAUCCACAAAGCAGAUGAUAACAUGUUCUUUUAAACUGGGCUUGCAAAAGUUUUUCUAAAAACCGAACAAUUUUCGUUCAUGAAUAAUUAACUUUGUUCACUACAGUGUGUGUGCCGUCCACGGUACAGUGAUUAUACAAUAAUAUUGUUGAAAAUAUACAUUAAAAUAAAUAAAUCAUAUAUUUGAAGUAUCUCUUUUUAGUUUAUUAACAUUAAUCAUCAAUUACAACGUUGUAAACUCUGAAUAUUAAAUUAGCCGACUUUGUUUUUAGAUUGAUUACCAAUGGAACUUUCUGACAAUCGUAACACAGCAACACACACGGGCUGCCUACUAGCCUAAUGGUUAUGGGGAAAACCUAGAGGAAAACCCAUGAACAGUAAAAAAAACCC